Molecule: ribosomal RNA, 253 nt
Filed under: uncultured bacterium
Lineage: Bacteria
Description: partial 16S ribosomal RNA
Rfam family: Bacterial small subunit ribosomal RNA
Source: RNAcentral
UACGUAGGGGGCGAGCGUUGUCCGGAAUUAUUGGGCGUAAAGAGCGUGUAGGCGGUUCGGUAAGUCUGUCGUGAAAUCCUGGGGCUCAACCCCGGGACUGCGUCCGAUACUUCCGAGCUGGAGGUAGGUAGGGGAGAUCGGAAUUCCUGGUGUAGCGGUGAAAUGCGCAGAUAUCAGGAGGAACACCGGUGGCGAAGGCGGAUCUCUGGGCCUUACCUGACGCUGAGGCGCGAAAGCUAGGGGAGCGAACAGG